This 342-nucleotide ribosomal RNA is filed under the name Triticum aestivum (bread wheat). Its description in RNAcentral is "partial small subunit ribosomal RNA". The record is from RNAcentral. Lineage: Eukaryota; Viridiplantae; Streptophyta; Magnoliopsida; Poales; Poaceae.
AUGAUGCUCGCGGCAGGGCCGCGGCGGCGGCCUUGGCAGGGGCGGCGCGGUGGUGGCCUGGGGAGGGCCGGUCGUGGCAGAUCGACUGUCGGCGCACUCCAUGGUGGUGCAGUCGGAGGAAGGUGCGGCAAAGAUGCGGGGGAGGGAGGUGGUGGUGCGGCACCGUGGAGGGAGGUGGCGCAGCGGCAUGGUGGACGGAGGUGGUGGUGCAGCGUGGUAGAGGGAGAUGGCGCGACGAAAGGAGGUGGAGGGAUUGGGGUCGUGGUCGUGCGGGAGGUGGGUUGGGGUGGUGCAGGGCUGCGGGCACUGGCCGGCGACGGGUUGACCAGGGGAAGAAGGUAG